CGGCUAUGAUGAGGCAUAGAGAUAGUCAUGCACCACUCUGAUUUUCGUGCUGAGAAUUUUCUCAAACCCAUUUUCUGAGCCC
Lupinus angustifolius (narrow-leaved blue lupine) is the source of this 82-nucleotide non-coding RNA. Lineage: Eukaryota; Viridiplantae; Streptophyta; Magnoliopsida; Fabales; Fabaceae. The record is from Rfam.